AGAGUUUGAUCAUGGCUCAGGAUGAGCGCUAGCGGCAGGCUUAACACAUGCAAGUCGAGGGGUAUAGGUUUUCGGACCUAGAGACCGGCGCACGGGUGCGUAACGCGUAUGCAAUCUACCUUUUACAGAGGGAUAGCCCAGAGAAAUUUGGAUUAAUACCUCAUAGUAUUAUUGAAUGGCAUCAUUUAAUAAUUAAAGUCACAACGGUAAAAGAUGAGCAUGCGUCCCAUUAGCUAGUUGGUAAGGUAACGGCUUACCAAGGCAACGAUGGGUAGGGGUCCUGAGAGGGAGAUCCCCCACACUGGUACUGAGACACGGGCCAGACUCCUACGGGAGGCAGCAGUGAGGAAUAUUGGUCAAUGGGCGCAAGCCUGAACCAGCCAUGCCGCGUGCAGGAUGACG
RNAcentral lists this ribosomal RNA (402 nucleotides) under uncultured Bacteroidota bacterium. Its description in RNAcentral is "bacterial SSU rRNA". It matches the Rfam family "Bacterial small subunit ribosomal RNA", at positions 8 to 413 of the family's 1533-position model. The record is from RNAcentral. Lineage: Bacteria; Pseudomonadati; Bacteroidota.